AUUGAACGCUGGCGGCAUGCCUUACACAUGCAAGUCGAACGGUAACGCGGGGCACCCUGGCGACGAGUGGCGAACGGGUGAGUAAUGUAUCGGAACGUGCCCAGUUGUGGGGGAUAACUGCUCGAAAGAGCAGCUAAUACCGCAUACGACCUGAGGGUGAAAGCGGGGGAUCGCAAGACCUCGCGCAAUUGGAGCGGCCGAUAUCAGAUUAGGUAGUUGGUGGGGUAAAGGCCCACCAAGCCAACGAUCUGUAGCUGGUCUGAGGGGACGACCAGCCACACUGGGACUGAGACACGGCCCAGACUCCUACGGGA
RNAcentral lists this ribosomal RNA (314 nucleotides) under uncultured bacterium. RNAcentral describes it as "bacterial SSU rRNA". It matches the Rfam family "Bacterial small subunit ribosomal RNA", at positions 30 to 346 of the family's 1533-position model. The record is from RNAcentral.